RNAcentral lists this ribosomal RNA (515 nucleotides) under uncultured bacterium. RNAcentral describes it as "partial 16S ribosomal RNA". It matches the Rfam family "Bacterial small subunit ribosomal RNA", at positions 28 to 523 of the family's 1533-position model. The record is from RNAcentral.
GAUGAACGCUGGCGGCGUGCCUAAUACAUGCAAGUCGAGCGAAUGGAUUAAGAGCUUGCUCUUAUGAAGUUAGCGGCGGACGGGUGAGUAACACGUGGGUAACCUGCCCAUAAGACUGGGAUAACUCCGGGAAACCGGGGCUAAUACCGGAUAACAUUUUGAACCGCAUGGUUCGAAAUUGAAAGGCGGCUUCGGCUGUCACUUAUGGAUGGACCCGCGUCGCAUUAGCUAGUUGGUGAGGUAACGGCUCACCAAGGCAACGAUGCGUAGCCGACCUGAGAGGGUGAUCGGCCACACUGGGACUGAGACACGGCCCAGACUCCUACGGGAGGCAGCAGUAGGGAAUCUCCCGCAAUGGACGAAAGUCUGACGGAGCAACGCCGCGUGAGUGAUGAAGGCUUUCGGGUCGUAAAACUCUGUUGUUAGGGAAGAACAAGUGCUAGUUGAAUAAGCUGGCACCUUGACGGAACCUAACCAGAAAGCCACGGCUAACUACGUGCCAGCAGCCGCCGCGG